UAUCUCUGUAGAGUCUGCAUAUCAAUAAGCGGAGGAAAAGAAACUAACUAGGAUUCCCUCAGUAACGGCGAGUGAAGCGGGAAGAGCUCAAAUUUGAAAUCUUCAAGGUUUUACCUUGACGAAUUGUAGUUUAAAGAAGUGUUUUCUGUUGGAGUUUUGGUAAAAGUUCUUUGGAAUAGGACAUCAUAGAGGGUGAGAAUCCCGUAUUUGACCAUUAUUUCCAGCUUUGUGAUACACUUUCAAAGAGUCGGAUUGUUUGGGAAUGCAGUCCAAAAUGGGUGGUAAAUUUCAUCUAAAGCUAAAUGUUGGCGAGAGACCGAUAGCGAACAAGUACCGUGAGGGAAAGAUGAAAAGAACUUUGAAAAGAGAGUUAAACAGUACGUGAAAUUGUCAAAAGGGAAGCGUUUGACACCAGUGUUGUUUCUACGAAAAUCAAUUUAUGAUGGCUUGAUGCUAAGCUUUAAGACUUUAUCCGCUUGUUGUUUAGUUUUCUUGUCUUUGUGAAUGCACUUUUCGUGGAACAAGUCAACAUCAAUUUCUUUUGCUGUAAAAGGGUAAGAGGAAGGUGGCUUCGGCUUCGGUUGAAGUGUUUAUAGCCUUUUAUCUCUGCAGUCGGAGAGAUUGAGGUCUGCAGCGUAGACUCCUUCGGGGUUAGAUACAGUUGGUGCUAAGUUAUAGCCUUUCAUAGACAACUUGUUGACUAUGAUCAGUCAUGUAGCUUACCCGCUUAGGCUAUUUUACCUACGCUUAGGAUGUUGAGUCAUCACACAUCUCU
Molecule: ribosomal RNA, 775 nt
Filed under: uncultured Neocallimastigales
Lineage: Eukaryota; Fungi; Neocallimastigomycota; Neocallimastigomycetes; Neocallimastigales
Description: partial large subunit ribosomal RNA
Rfam family: Eukaryotic large subunit ribosomal RNA
Source: RNAcentral